Molecule: ribosomal RNA, 468 nt
Filed under: uncultured bacterium
Lineage: Bacteria
Description: partial 16S ribosomal RNA
Rfam family: Bacterial small subunit ribosomal RNA
Source: RNAcentral
GACGAACGCUGGCGGCGUGCUUAACACAUGCAAGUCGAACGGAAAGGCCCUGCUUUUGUGGGGUGCUCGAGUGGCGAACGGGUGAGUAACACGUGAGUCACCUGCCCUUGACUUUGGGAUAACUUCAGGAAACUGGGGCUAAUACCGGAUAGGAGCUCCUGCUGCAUGGUGGGGGUUGGAAAGUUUCGGCGGUUGGGGAUGGACUCGCGGCUUAUCAGCUUGUUGGUGGGGUAGUGGCUUACCAAGGCUUUGACGGGUAGCCGGCCUGAGAGGGUGACCGGCCACAUUGGGACUGAGAUACGGCCCAGACUCCUACGGGAGGCAGCAGUAGGGAAUAUUGCACAAUGGGCGGAAGCCUGAUGCAGCAACGCCGCGUGCGGGAUGACGGCCUUCGGGUUGUAAACCGCUUUCGCCUGUGACGAAGCGUGAGUGACGGUAAUGGGUAAAGAAGCACCGGCUAACUACGUG